This 215-nucleotide long non-coding RNA is filed under the name Nicotiana benthamiana. RNAcentral's name for it is "long non-coding RNA (NBEN_LNC000486)". The record is from RNAcentral. Lineage: Eukaryota; Viridiplantae; Streptophyta; Magnoliopsida; Solanales; Solanaceae.
UUGGAGUAUGCAGAGCAGGGAGGGGAUGAGAUGCAGCUCUGCAUUCCAUGUACAAAGUGUACAUUCUUUGAGUCAGCCCAAAAUUUUGUCGAUUAGGGGUAGUUCCCUUUUCCCUCUUUAUUUUGUUUCAUUUUCUUCUCGUGAUAAUUCUAGACAGGCAAUUAUAUUCUUGGACGCCAUUAACAUAGAAUAGUUUAUAGCGGAGCACAGUUGUG